This 263-nucleotide signal recognition particle RNA is filed under the name human gut metagenome. RNAcentral describes it as "Bacterial large signal recognition particle RNA". It matches the Rfam family "Bacterial large signal recognition particle RNA". Rfam says of the family: The signal recognition particle (SRP) is a universally conserved ribonucleoprotein involved in the co-translational targeting of proteins to membranes. The record is from RNAcentral.
GUGCAACUGGGGCAGUAGCGGCGCCUUGUACCUGUGAAAUCCGCUAUAGCAGGAGUAUGCUUGAUUGAGGGCAAAAUGUUUUGAAGCAGCCCGGUAAAAGAAGGCGUUGACGUUUGGGUCUUCCGCAACGAAAAUUUACGAAUCAUGUCAGGUCGGGAACGAAGCAGCAUUAAGUAAAACCUUUCGUGUGCCGGGAGGCAGCCUGGGCUGAGCAUUUCUUUUCCCGGAAGCGUUUGGGAUAUGCGUUCGAGGUCAAGUGCACG